AAGAGUGUUGCAUUGAAGCUGCAAAGGUGACUUUUGUCUUUUGGUAUGUAUAAAAUUUAGAA
RNAcentral lists this transfer RNA (62 nucleotides) under Pollicipes pollicipes. RNAcentral describes it as "tRNA-Phe". Lineage: Eukaryota; Metazoa; Arthropoda; Thecostraca; Pollicipedomorpha; Pollicipedidae. The record is from RNAcentral.